GACGAACGCUGGCGGCGUGCCUAAUACAUGCAAGUAGAACGCACAGUUUAUACCGUAGCUUGCUACACCAUAGACUGUGAGUUGCGAACGGGUGAGUAACGCGUAGGUAACCUGCCUGGUAGCGGGGGAUAACUAUUGGAAACGAUAGCUAAUACCGCAUAAUAUUAAUUAUUGCAUGAUAAUUAAUUGAAAGGUGCAAUUGCACCACUACCAGAUGGACCUGCGUUGUAUUAGCUAGUAGGUGAGGUAACGGCUCACCUAGGCGACGAUACAUAGCCGACCUGAGAGGGUGAUCGGCCACACUGGGACUGAGACGCGGCCCAGACUCCUACGGGAGGCAGCAGUAGGGAAUCUUCGGCAAUGGACGAAAGUCUGACCGAGCAACGCCGCGUGAGUGAAGAAGGUUUUCGGAUCGUAAAGCUCUGUUGUAAGAGAAGAACGGGUGUGAGAGUGGAAAGUUCACACUGUGACGGUAUCUUACCAGAAAGGGACGGCUAACUACGUG
Molecule: ribosomal RNA, 505 nt
Filed under: uncultured bacterium
Lineage: Bacteria
Description: partial 16S ribosomal RNA
Rfam family: Bacterial small subunit ribosomal RNA
Source: RNAcentral